Molecule: ribosomal RNA, 425 nt
Filed under: uncultured Synechococcus sp.
Lineage: Bacteria; Bacillati; Cyanobacteriota; Cyanophyceae; Synechococcales; Synechococcaceae
Description: bacterial SSU rRNA
Rfam family: Bacterial small subunit ribosomal RNA
Source: RNAcentral
UGGGGAAUUUUCCGCAAUGGGCGAAAGCCUGACGGAGCAACGCCGCGUGAGGGAUGAAGGCCUCUGGGCUGUAAACCUCUUUUAUCAAGGAAGAAGAUCUGACGGUACUUGAUGAAUAAGCCACGGCUAAUUCCGUGCCAGCAGCCGCGGUAAUACGGGAGUGGCAAGCGUUAUCCGGAAUUAUUGGGCGUAAAGCGUCCGCAGGCGGCCCUUCAAGUCUGCUGUUAAAAAGUGGAGCUUAACUCCAUCAUGGCAGUGGAAACUGAGGGGCUUGAGUGUGGUAGGGGCAGAGGGAAUUCCCGGUGUAGCGGUGAAAUGCGUAGAUAUCGGGAAGAACACCAGUGGCGAAGGCGCUCUGCUGGGCCAUCACUGACGCUCAUGGACGAAAGCCAGGGGAGCGAAUGGGAUUAGAUACCCCAGUAGUC